Argiope bruennichi is the source of this 1764-nucleotide long non-coding RNA. RefSeq lists it as uncharacterized. NCBI's taxonomy places the organism in Eukaryota, Metazoa, Arthropoda, Arachnida, Araneae, Araneidae. The transcript is spliced from 4 exons. The record is from RefSeq and is a predicted model, not a curated record.
GAGUUUUUCAGUUGAUUAUUUUUCCUUUUUAGUACUAUUUUAAACCCCAUUUGUGAUUCAUUUCGAGAAUAUAUAUACUCGAAGCCAAGUACCCCAAAAUCAGUUGAAGCUUUUUAGCCGAGAACAGUCUUUACAAUGCUUUCCCAAGUUUUGAAUGCUUUGGCUUUUGCAGCUCUUUUAGGAUUGGCUUUGGGUAAGAAUGCAUUUCCUUUUAUUUAUCUUAAAAACUAAAAGGGAGAAGUGACGAUUACAUCAUAAGGUCUAGAGAAAUUAAAUUUAUGCUUAUUUUGAUAAGAGGAUGUUCUGAUUAAAUAACUAUCAUUUUUUUUUUUAUUUUCAAGUAUUCCAAUUCAAGUAAUAGGUAUAUUAAUUAUAAAUAAUGCUAUUUAAGCAAAUAAUUAAUUUUGCUUUACUAUUGUAAAGAUAUUCUAUUUCCGUUAUUUUAGUCAACUCAUCUCACAUGAUAUUUUUAAAAAUAAAGCCAAUUUUGAUAUUUUUAAAAAUUAAACCAAUUUUAAUCAGUUCUGUAUAAGUUUAUGACCACCAAGAAAAUCUUGAGCGUUCUAAGUACAAAAAGUCAAAUUAACGCGACCUAUAGAUUAUAAUAAUCAAAUAUUCACUGCACAAUUUUUAUGUUCAAAAAGGAUAAAUAAAAUUUUAGAUUAUUUUUAAAUUAUAUGUUUAGGGGAAUAUGUAAUCCUUGUUAUGAGAAAAAUAUCUUUUUCAAACAUAAUUUCUUUAAAUAUGCUUUAAAUUUACUAUUAAUAAAUAAUCAUUUAAACUAUUAAUAACAAAACAAAUGUUAACAACCACUUCAUUCGCAUAUGCCGAAAUAUAUUCUUUUUAUUAUACUUGUGUUAAUAUUGUGUUAUAAAAAUUAAUGAAUUAUUUAUUUUUAUUACAGCUGAACGUAAGAUAUUUUAAAUGAUUUUAUUCUAUAGUUUUGUUUUUAAUGCACGUUAAUUUAUUAUAUCAUCUUUGCUGUAUUUGUUAUUAACAUGUAAAACUAAGACAAAGAAAUAUACGGAUCUGAAAUGUCUAUAAUGCUGAGCCAAAAUUUGAUGUUUGUAUAAGAAAUGUAUAACAAUGUAUAAUAUUUGUAUAACAACUUUAAAUUUAUAUUAGAAAUAUAUUUAAUUUCAUAUUAAAAAUAUAAACAUUUUUAAUGAAUAUUUUCAUAUUCCUUAAUUGUAAUAGUUUAAUUACGAUUUAAAAAAUCGUUUAUUUGAAUGAAUCCUAAAUACAAUAUAUAUAUUGAUUUUUAUUUUAUAUAUGAAUUAAUGCAUCUUUAAUUUAUAUGCAGAUUUAAAUUAUGACGGUAUUGAUUUUUUUUUAUUACAGCGGAACGUAAGAAAUAUUUAUAACUUUAUAUCCUUAAACGUUUUUUUCCUACCCCAUAAUGAUAUACUUUACUAUAUGUAAUACUAUCAUUCAAAAGUAGCUUUAAUAAGAUAUGUGCUGAUUUGUCGUUUAAAAUGUUUAAUCCGGUCACAAUGGCAAUUUAUUUGAUGAUGCCGCUAGUGUUUUGGACAACUUCUUCGGAACAGGAUAAGCUUCAUAGCCAUCCUUAAGAGAAAAUGUAGACAAUAGCAAAUCUGAGUAUGAUUGAUCAAAUUACAUAUUGAAACAAUUAUGUAUCGCUAUUUAUUUUAAGCAACCGACUGUAAUUUGCUAAACCUAAUUCCUAUAAUUUUUGCAUGCAUGCUAUUAGAUGCUUCCACAAUGUAAAAAUUUCAGAAAAUAAAUAGAAUAUUGAAAAAAAAA